AUGUGCAAGCAAGUCAAUUUGCGUACCACAUUUUUGUCUUCCCAGUGGGACUUCGUGUCCCAGAGGCAGAGAAUGAAGUGAUGUCUGGUUGCAAGAGCCAGAUGACAGCUGAGCCAGCUAGCAGCUAAGAGGUCUGCAGGGAAGAGCGUUGGCUUCCGGGCAGAGUGAGACGGAGAGUCCUAUGGACCAUUUGCCCCCUAACCCCUGAGUAUGAUCGUUUGAAGGAGGACAAUCAUUUUUAAAGCUCUCCUCGUUUAUUGAGCGGCCACAGUAUCCUGGGCACUCGGCCAAACGCUUUGAGUACAACACCUCGCGAGAUCACCACACCUUCCUCACGGAAGAGAAAGUACCGAAGAGGAAACAGAGGGUCACAGAGGUUGCCUGACAUUACACAGCUAGCCGGUGACCAAGCCGGGAGUAGAACACAGACCCCCGACCCUUUUCCAUGUCCCGUAUUGUGAAUAAACAUACUCCUUAGAUUUGC
Herpailurus yagouaroundi (jaguarundi) is the source of this 484-nucleotide long non-coding RNA. RefSeq lists it as uncharacterized. The transcript is spliced from 2 exons. The record is from RefSeq and is a predicted model, not a curated record. Lineage: Eukaryota; Metazoa; Chordata; Mammalia; Carnivora; Felidae.